Molecule: unclassified non-coding RNA, 661 nt
Filed under: Nodosilinea sp. 1359
Lineage: Bacteria; Bacillati; Cyanobacteriota; Cyanophyceae; Nodosilineales; Nodosilineaceae
Description: partial contains 16S ribosomal RNA and 16S-23S ribosomal RNA intergenic spacer
Source: RNAcentral
GGRAGUUGGCSACGCCCGRAGUCGUUACUCUAACCGUUCGCGGGGGAGGGCGCCGAAGGCAGGGCUGAUGACUGGGGUGAAGUCGUAACAAGGUAGCCGUACCGGAAGGUGUGGCUGGAUCACCUCCUUUUAGGGAGACCUACCCUUGAUAACUCUGAACCAUUUUUAUUAGGAGUAUCGAGCGGUCACUCUAGGUCGUUCAGGAACUUGAGUGGAAUUUCUAAGCUAUGGUUGAGGUUUCUUUUUCAUCUUUAGUUCGUCUUUGGUGACGAGCUAGUGAGAGAUGAGGAAAAACACUAAGGGCUAUUAGCUCAGGUGGUUAGAGCGCACCCCUGAUAAGGGUGAGGUCCCUGGUUCGAGUCCAGGAUGGCCCACUGCGUGGGGGUUUAGCUCAGUUGGUAGAGCGCCUGCUUUGCAAGCAGGAUGUCAGCGGUUCGAGUCCGCUAACCUCCACUGAGAGCGAGCAUUCAGCACAGUAUGUCUUGAUUGAGUCAAUCAGAGAUGUAGUCUGCUGGGUGAGAGCCUAGCAAAGAACCUUGAAAACUGCAUAGUUAGAGAAGUGUAAGGUAGUACACACAGAUMUUGAGUCGAGAGUAAAGCGCGAUUCCAAUCUGUUGCUGAGUCUGAAAGGACGAGGUAAUGGAGCGGACAAAGGGUCAAG